RNAcentral lists this ribosomal RNA (468 nucleotides) under uncultured bacterium. RNAcentral describes it as "partial 16S ribosomal RNA". It matches the Rfam family "Bacterial small subunit ribosomal RNA", at positions 28 to 507 of the family's 1533-position model. The record is from RNAcentral.
GACGAACGCUGGCGGCGUGCUUAACACAUGCAAGUCGAACGGAAAGGCCCUGCUUUUGUGGGGUGCUCGAGUGGCGAACGGAUGAGUAACGCGUGAGUAACCUGCCCUGCACUCUGGGAUAACUUCAGGAAACUGGGGCUAAUACCGGAUAGGAGCUCCUGCUGCAUGGUGGGGGUGGGAAAGUUUCGGCGGUUGGGGAUGGACUCGCGGCGUAUCAGCUUGUUGGUGGGGUAGUGGCUUACCAAGGCUUUGACGGGUAGCCGGCCUGAGAGGGUGACCGGCCACAUUGGGACUGAGAUACGGCCCAGACGCCUACGGGAGGCAGCAGUGGGGAAUAUUGCACAAUGGGCGGAAGCCUGAUGCAGCAACGCCGCGUGCGGGAUGACGGCCUUCGGGUUGUAAACCGCUUUCGCCUGUGACGAAGCGUGAGUGACGGUAAUGGGUAAAGAAGCACCGGCUAACUACGUG